Aphis gossypii (cotton aphid) is the source of this 2831-nucleotide long non-coding RNA. RefSeq lists it as uncharacterized. The record is from RefSeq and is a predicted model, not a curated record. Lineage: Eukaryota; Metazoa; Arthropoda; Insecta; Hemiptera; Aphididae. The transcript has 2 exons.
UUGAAUAUUAAAAUACAUUAUAACUGUGAUUACUAAAAAAAGGUCUUAUACAAUACAGGUAUGUUAUUAUGUCAAUAAUAUUGAGUAUAAGUUUUCAAUGAGUUGGUAAAAAUGUAAGAAGCCGAAAAAAUAUUAUACGCGUCGGGCAAAUCUUCCUUAAAAGCGACGACAACAAUUAUUAUUGAAUAAUAAUUAAGUGUGAUAAUAGGUUACACGACAAAAUAAACAACAAUCGACUAUUUUUUCGUGUUUGUUUAGCCGGCUGGUAACUACCAUUCGAAUAAGAACACAUAAGACAAAACGUCACCACUUGGCUUCCGCUUCUGUGACGGUGUAGCGUUUUGCCUUUGCCGCCAUAUUUAAACUGUACUAUCUGUGCGCGGUCGGCCGCCGAGCAUUACGUCAGCGGCGAUUCACAGUGCCGCCUCACCGGAAGGAACAAAUUGUCAUACUGCGCGUGGCGCGUCGGCUUUUCUCGCUGACGACGACGUUCCGCGUUUCCGUGAAACCGCGGACAGGUUACCACGAAAUGAUUUCGAUUCAAACAACCCAUACCACGACUACUGUCCCCACCAACGUCAUAAUAAUAUCUGGUGGACGAAAACGCGGCCGGCUCGUCAUCGCCGUCCGCCGGUAACCAGUGCAGGCAACUGGACGCGCCGAUUUUGCAUACACUGCAAAAAGUGGUGAUACGAACAUUUUUUUUUAACCUUUCAUUAUUUACGUGAACUUUUUCGCUUUACGUAUAUUUUUUCUUGAAAAAAAAUGGUGUAUCUCGUUAGGCGUUAGUGAAUCGUGUUUUGAUUGUUAUUAUUAUUAUUUUUUUUUUUGUUUUCAUUUGCUUGUUCUCUAAGUAUCUGCACAUUGUCCGCCGACAGUCCUGCCGACGUUCGGGGAAUCGCGUACGUUUCAAUUUGGUUUUUCCGAAACGGAUAAUACGAUACGCCCGUCCAUUGUUUGUGCAACCGCUCCGAGGCGAGUCGUCUGUUUCGUCAACAAACGCUUAACAGUCUGAUGAAUAAUAUUUGUUUUUCACUGAACAACGCCUGAAGAAUAAAGAAAUGCCACACAAGUGAUUGGCUUUUAUCAAUGUUGUGUUCCAUUAGGUACCUACAUUCAGUUUGUUUAGUAGAGUAUAGUAUGUUUUAUCCAUUUUCUGUUUAUUGUCGGUUGUAUUGAAGAAAUAAAAUGUUACUUUUUUUAUUAAAUAAACAUAUUGUUUAGCUUACAGACUACCAUGUUUUGAAAAACAAUUUGUUUUCAGAAAAUGUAUGGUUAUUGGUCAUUGAAGGACAAUAUUGCAAUGUUAUUCUGAACAUUUAUUUCAGUUGGAUUCUUACGAAUUGGAUAAUACAUACUAUAUUUAUAGUCAGUGCAAUUAAUAAUAAUAAUAAUAAUGUUUAAAACAAUAUAUAACAUACUGAAGGGAAACAAAUGUUUCAGAGUAAAUGCCUUACUACCUAUUCAGUCAAACUUCUGUGUGCACUAAGACAGAGUACUAUAUGGCUACUUAUUAUAGGCUACUUCCUACUGGUGGAGGCAUUUAUUAAAGGUAAUUGGUAUAUUUUUCUUUUUAUUUUAUUAGUAUUCUGAAUUAUAUUUUAUUAAUCAAACAUUUGAAAUAGUUUGAACUGUAUGUUUAUUUUUUUUAUAGAAAGUCAUUUUCUAUAAUCAAACAAGUAUGCAUUCACUAUUUAGAUUCUGCUACAACUUAAAAAUUAGCCUCUGUCAGUGUAAUUAAUAUUUAAUUGGCCUAUAGUAGGUGUACCUAAUAUUAUAUUAAAUCUUACUAAUAUUAAUUACAUACAUACAUGGUUGCCUAUGAAUUUAACAAAAAUUAUUCCAAAGUGUGUGUAUCUAUUUAAAUCUGAUGGAAAAAAUCUAUUUUGAAUUGGUAUUCAUAUUAACUCUUAAAAAUGUAAAAUUUUGAAAGAGUUCUUUAUCUAAUAUAGAUUAUCUAUCUUAUUAAAAAUGUUAGAUGAAUACAAUCUGGUUACUUCUCUAACUUUAGAAGAGUAAUUCUAUGUUCCUCAAUGUAACAGAUUAUACCUAAACUGGAUGAAGAAUGUUAUUAACCUAAUUCAAAAUUGGAAAUUAUAUUAAUCUUACCGGUAAAUUCAACAUUAUAUAUAUUUUAAUGUAAUAAUGUUAUGGUAAGCUUUUGAUACUUAGAGAUAUAAGGCUAUGCUAUUAUAAUAGUAUUUAUAAAUGAUUAUAAAUUGUGUUCUAUAUUUAAUUUUAUGUGUUUAAAAUGUGGUCUUGACUGAAAUUUCAACAUAUUAUUUUUUAUUUUGGUAUUUAUAUAAUUAGUUUUAUUAUUCUUGUAUAAAAUAUUCAAUUUAAAAAUAAUAUACCUAUUUAUUUUAUAAUAAUUAUAAUUAGUUAAAUAAUAGUACAUAUUAUUUCUUUAUGUAUGUAUCAGUUGUUUUUAAAAUACCUACCUUAAGUAAAAUAUUAAUGCAAACCAAGCAAUAAUUAAUUGACAUUGGUAUGUUUUUGUUUUAGCUGAAUGUUUUAAAAAUGUAAAUAUUUGUUCUGAAUAAGUAAUUUAAUGAUUAAAAUGGGUUAUUAAAUAAUAAUUGUUUUUAUUUUUUUCUUAUUUAUAUAUUUGCAAUCUUUUAUUAUUAAAUUGAUUAAAAUAUUCAACUCUGGUAGUAAAGUACUGAGUUAUGUAAAUAUUUGUUAAAAUUCCCAAAACAUAUUAAUCUAUUAGUAGGUACUACAUUAUUACACCGUAUUAUAUUAUGGAUAAAAAGAAAUGUUCAAAUAACCAUCAUGGUUUUAAGUUGUAACUUUUAAGGUAUACCAAUAAAUAAGUAAAAUUAAUUUCA